GGAGCAGGCAGAGCUGCUGGCUGCUGGAGACCUCCUAACUGCCUUAAACUACUUCAUGCUGGCCAAAACUAGCCCAGUGCUGGAAAACAGCUGAAGAUUCAGGCUAUUUGCAGUGCUGCCACAACCCUGAAUUCGACCAGCAGAGACAAAAAGUUUCUAUCCAUCUCUUGCAUGUCCUAGGGCAGAGCUAUUGCAUUUCAGGGAGCAACCGCAUCGUUGGCAUCCCUCGGAUCUGGAACAAGAGCCGCAUCUCUCCAGCUCCCUCCAAAAUGAAAUCACUGGCACACCAGCACCUGCCCCAGCACCAAAAACCCUGGCAGAUGAAGCUCCAGCUCAGCACGAGCCAGAAGCGCCAGAAGCACGGGGACAUCUGAAGCUGCCUGAAAUCCAGAG
Long non-coding RNA from Oxyura jamaicensis (ruddy duck), 393 nucleotides. RefSeq lists it as uncharacterized. The transcript has 3 exons. Lineage: Eukaryota; Metazoa; Chordata; Aves; Anseriformes; Anatidae. The record is from RefSeq and is a predicted model, not a curated record.